RNAcentral lists this ribosomal RNA (439 nucleotides) under uncultured bacterium. Its description in RNAcentral is "partial 16S ribosomal RNA". It matches the Rfam family "Bacterial small subunit ribosomal RNA", at positions 338 to 795 of the family's 1533-position model. The record is from RNAcentral.
CCUACGGGAGGCAGCAGUGGGGAAUAUUGCACAAUGGGCGAAAGCCUGAUGCAGCAACGCCGCGUGAGCGAUGAAGGCCUUCGGGUCGUAAAGCUCUGUCCUCAAGGAAGAUAAUGACGGUACUUGAGGAGGAAGCCCCGGCUAACUACGUGCCAGCAGCCGCGGAAAUACGUCGGGGGCUAGGGUUAUCCGGAAUUACUGGGCGUAAGGGGUGCGUAGGUGGUUUCUUAAGUCAGAGGUGAAAGGCUACGGCUCAACCGUAGUAAGCAGUUGAAACUGGGGAACUUGAGUGCAGGAGAGGAGAGUGGAAUUCGUGGUGUAGCGGUGAAAUGCGUAGAUAUUAGGAAGAACACCAGUUGCGAAGGCGGCUCUCUGGACUGUAACUGACACUGAGGCACGAAAGCGUGGGGAGCAAACAGGAUUAGAUACCCUUGUAGUC